RNAcentral lists this ribosomal RNA (522 nucleotides) under uncultured bacterium. RNAcentral describes it as "partial 16S ribosomal RNA". It matches the Rfam family "Bacterial small subunit ribosomal RNA", at positions 28 to 523 of the family's 1533-position model. The record is from RNAcentral.
GACGAACGCUGGCGGCGUGCCUAAUACAUGCAAGUCGAACGCUUUUUCUUUCACCGGAGCUUGCUCCACCGAAAGAAAAAGAGUGGCGAACGGGUGAGUAACACGUGGGUAACCUGCCCAUCAGAAGGGAAUAACACUUGGAAACAGGUGCUAAUACCGUAUAACACUAUUUUCCGCAUGGAAGAAAGUUGAAAGGCGCUUUUGCGUCACUGAUGGAUGGACCCGCGGUGCAUUAGCUAGUUGGUGAGGUAACGGCACACCAAGGCAACGAUGCAUAGCCGACCUGAGAGGGUGAUCGGCCACACUGGGACUGAGACACGGCCCAGACUCCUACGGGAGGCAGCAGUAGGGAAUCUUCCGCAAUGGACGAAAGUCUGACGGAGCAACGCCGCGUGAGUGAAGAAGGUUUUCGGAUCGUAAAACUCUGUUGUUAGAGAAGAACAAGGAUGAGAGUAACUGCUCGUCCCUUGACGGUAUCUAACCAGAAAGCCAUGGCUAACUACGUGCCAGCCGCCGCCGUAA